RNAcentral lists this ribosomal RNA (252 nucleotides) under uncultured bacterium. RNAcentral's name for it is "partial 16S ribosomal RNA". It matches the Rfam family "Bacterial small subunit ribosomal RNA", at positions 524 to 776 of the family's 1533-position model. The record is from RNAcentral.
UACGUAGGUCCCGAGCGUUGUCCGGAUUUAUUGGGCGUAAAGCGAGCGCAGGUGGUUUAUUAAGUCUGGUGUAAAAGGCAGUGGCUCAACCAUUGUAUGCAUUGGAAACUGGUAGACUUGAGUGCAGGAGGGGAGAGUGGAAUUCCAUGUGUAGCGGUGAAAUGCGUAGAUAUAUGGAGGAACACCAGUGGCGAAAGCGGCUCUCUGGUCUGUAACUGACGCUGAGGUUCGAAAGCGUGGGUAGCAAACAGG